ACAAAAAUGAAAACGCUGUAGGGAGGAAAAGGCAGGAACCUGUCCUUGCCCCCAAAGAGCGUCAACAAGAGGACGUUCCUCCCCACACCGUCGUGGACAGAGGCCGAGGGUCAGCUUUAGGCUUUCAGAAGUGGAUACCUCUUCAUGAACUAGUAAUGGUUUUCCUUCCAACACCCCCCAACUGGGCUGUUGUGGUCUCUGCAGUACAGAAUGAACUGUGCAGUCAUCUGGAAUGUUUUUCUUAAGGUUCACAUCAACCCUGGAGAGGGUCUAUGCUCUGGCACCUCACAUUAGUUUGGAUCAGGAUGACUCACUGAGAGCGAGUGUGAAGAAAGUCAUUCCUCCAAGCCGGUACCUUUGGGGUCCUGAAAUCCUUCUGCCCUUCCUUAGCGGGACCACAACACCCUGGCAUAACAUGGACCCCACAAGGGUCUCAAGACUCCCCAGGGCCAGGAUCUACUUCCACAGAAGGAGGGCAGGUGGGGCACUAAACACAGGGUUCUGACCUAAAGAUGAGGGAGGCGUGGAAUGAACACCCUUCAUCUCGGCCGCUGACUGAAUCAGGAAUCAAAGCAGAAAGAGGAGGAAAAGGAAUCCAAAUCUCAUUCCUUUUCAAUCCAAAAGAAUUUUAAGAGAGUUUUCUAAGAGCAGAAACUGCCACCAAGGCUGUAGGAGUCAGGCUAGCUGUGGUCUGUGACUGGUCUGACAAAGGCUAACUCUUACCCAGAUGUCCAAUAAAAACACUUAGCAAGGAUCAUUUCCAUAAGGCUUUGUCUACUCGAAACACAAGCCAAUUGUUUGGGUCCAAUUUAUGAAGCAAGGUCUUUGGAAGGUUAUGGGGUGAGGAGGCCUGAUGACAACUAAAUUGCCUUAAAUGGAGCUCAAAAUACCACCUUAAACAUUCUCCUCUCCUAAGAAAUGCUUCAUCAUAAAUCAAGAGGCUCAAAACGUAUUAAAAAUGACAAAUAGAGCAAGCACUUACAUUUCAUUUUUUUCUUUUAAUUCACCAAUGCAUCAAAGAUUUCUGAAGGAUAUUAUUCCGCACAAAAGAGAUGAAGUGCACCAGGAAUGCAAGAUUUCAGGGAUAAAAGAGGAGAUUAAAAAUCAAAUGGUGGACCAGACUUAAUGCUGAAAAUUAUUCUGAGAAUAGACAUACUCAUUUUAGCACCAGGACAUGAGGAUGGUCUGUUCCGAACUUGUAAGGCGUGGUGAAUCUCACAAUAACUGGACACAUGUUUUUCAUCUUAGAAGAACUUAUGAAUCCAUUUUAACGCAUUAAAGUUCAUGGGUACUAUUUGUCCACAAGUGAGCUUUCUCCUCCCUUUCCCCACCAUGCAUACUUUAAUGGGGUUUUGAUUCAAUGGGGGGGAAAAAACC
Molecule: long non-coding RNA, 1377 nt
Filed under: Zalophus californianus (California sea lion)
Lineage: Eukaryota; Metazoa; Chordata; Mammalia; Carnivora; Otariidae
Description: lncRNA (ENSZCAG00015010783.1)
Source: RNAcentral